CUAGUCGUACGAGUUCAGGCUCGUGGCGAAUAGCUCAGUAACACGUGGUCAAACUACCCUGUCGAGCGGGACACCCUCGGGAAACUGAGGCUAAUCCCGCAUACGGCUCGCUGCCUGGAGUGGCGCGAGCUCGAAACGCCCCGGCGCGACAGGAUGUGACUGCGGCCGAUUAGGUAGACGGUGGGGUAACGGCCCACCGUGCCAAUAAUCGGUACGGGUUGUGAGAGCAAGAGCCCGGAGACGGUAUCUGAGACAAGAUACCGGGCCCUACGGGGCGCAGCAGGCGCGAAACCUUUACACUGCACGCCAGUGCGAUAAGGGGACUCCCAGUGCGAGGGCAUAUCGUCCUCGCUUUUGUGUACCGUAGGGAGGUACACGAAUAAGGGCUGGGCAAGACCGGUGCCAGCCGCCGCGGUAAUACCGGCAGCCCAAGUGAUGACCGCUAUUAUUGGGCCUAAAGCGUCCGUAGCCGGCCACGCAAGUCCGUCGGGAAAUCCGCACGCCCAACGUGCGGGCGUCCGGCGGAAACUGCCUGGCUUGGGACCGGAAGACCAGAGGGGUACGUCCGGGGUAGGAGUGAAAUCCCGUAAUCCUGGACGGACCACCGGUGGCGAAAGCGCCUCUGGAAGACGGAUCCGACGGUGAGGGACGAAAGCUCGGGUCACGAACCGGAUUAGAUACCCGGGUAGUCCGAGCCGUAAACGAUGUCUGCUAGGUGUGACACUGGCUACGAGCCAGUGUUGUGCCGUAGGGAAGCCGUGAAGCAGAC
RNAcentral lists this ribosomal RNA (769 nucleotides) under Natribaculum luteum. RNAcentral's name for it is "bacterial SSU rRNA". It matches the Rfam family "Archaeal small subunit ribosomal RNA", at positions 54 to 824 of the family's 1478-position model. Lineage: Archaea; Methanobacteriati; Methanobacteriota; Halobacteria; Halobacteriales; Natrialbaceae. The record is from RNAcentral.